RNAcentral lists this long non-coding RNA (888 nucleotides) under Felis catus (domestic cat). RNAcentral describes it as "lncRNA (ENSFCAG00000041442.2)". Lineage: Eukaryota; Metazoa; Chordata; Mammalia; Carnivora; Felidae. The record is from RNAcentral.
CCACUGUAGGAUGAAACACAUCGCCUGUAAGGCCCCUUCUAACCCCGAAACCUACCUCUUGAAACCUACCUCUUUCCUUUAUUAGGUAAGGAAAUUGUCACCAAGAAAGGCCCGGUGAUUUGCCCGUCUCACAGUUAGUUAAUGACAGAAACCGAACCUCUGGUCUCAUAAGCUGCAGUCAUGUAUCCCACAUAUUUUCAAGGGUUCCGACUCCAGGAUCACAACGGACAGAGCACCAAGAGGUUCAUAGAGUGUGAUCGCUGCCACUCCGGGAGAGCAUCGCGUUGAAGGUCACUCCUUGUCUUGCUUCUGAAGAUGCCAUUAGGGACCACUGAUAACCGAUCGCAGGUGCGGCCGAGAACCUCUGCAUCGCCUCAUGUGAUUGGUUGACUCCACUUCAAACGUGCUAUAUACAUCGCACCUGUUUCCAGUCCAGCUGAACACGCUUUGCGUUCUCAUUUUUAACGUCUUAGAAGAACAAGCUCGUGGUUACCAUAGCAACUGUCCGGCGGCGACUUCUGCUUGGAGAUGAGCAUGCCAACAACAAUACUGCUUCUUUUUCUUGAUCUAGACUAGCCUUGCGGGUGGGCCCAGAUCACUCAAGCAGUAAUAGUCACAUUCAUGGAAAGAUGAUCAGCUCAGUUCGACCACCCCGAAAGAGGAAAAGAGGCUGGAAUGUAGUCAAAGAAAGCAAGAUCACACAGGGCUGGAAAGUCAGACCGACGAGUUCAAAGUCAACUCCACAGCGCGCACUGACCAGAGGGACAAUCGAAUUUCCACGUGGGUAAACUUUGGAACAGCCAUCCAUAUUUCAGGACUCCUGAGAUCUUCUCUAAAGAUAAUUGUAUAGGUAAAAACUGACUUGUUAUCAGAAAACCAGGAUCCAAG